AUGGGGUUGUUGCCUUGUUGGGUUACUUCAGUAGACAGGGUUGCAAACUUAAAUAAGGUUUUGUUACUGAUAAACCUUCCGAACUUAAAUAAAGUGUUUUGUAUCAUGAAGAUAAACCUUCCGAACUUAGAUGGAGUACGUUCAUUUUCCGAAUGCCUUAAUCCCAAAUUUACAUUUUAUCAGGAAUUCCAUUGUUAUACUGCGUUUUUCUUCUUACAAAAUCAUGAAACCAAGCAGGACAAGUUAUUUUUAUUUGCAUCUGAUCAUGUAUCGCAUAAUUUAAUUGUGGAAUUUAAGUUAGACUAUAUGCUCAUAUAA
RNAcentral lists this ribosomal RNA (318 nucleotides) under Triticum aestivum (bread wheat). RNAcentral's name for it is "partial small subunit ribosomal RNA". The record is from RNAcentral. Lineage: Eukaryota; Viridiplantae; Streptophyta; Magnoliopsida; Poales; Poaceae.